Molecule: ribosomal RNA, 448 nt
Filed under: uncultured bacterium
Lineage: Bacteria
Description: bacterial SSU rRNA
Rfam family: Bacterial small subunit ribosomal RNA
Source: RNAcentral
UGGGGAAUCUUGGACAAUGGGCGCAAGCCUGAUCCAGCCAUGCCGCGUGAGUGACGAAGGUCUUCGGAUUGUAAAGCUCUUUUUGCCAGGGACGAUAAUGACGGUACCUGGAGAAUAAGCCCCGGCAAACUUCGUGCCAGCAGCCGCGGUAAUACGAAGGGGGCUAGCGUUGUUCGGAAUUACUGGGCGUAAAGCGCACGUAGGCGGAUUGUUAAGUCAGAGGUGAAAUCCCGGAGCUCAACUUCGGAACUGCCUUUGAUACUGGCAAUCUAGAGUCCGGAAGAGGUUAGUGGAAUUCCCAGUGUAGAGGUGAAAUUCGUAGAUAUUGGGAAGAACACCAGUGGCGAAGGCGGCUAACUGGUCCGGUACUGACGCUGAGGUGCGAAAGCGUGGGGAGCAAACAGGAUUAGAUACCCACGUAGUCCCUGAGCGGGCUGGCAAGGCGCAU